This 916-nucleotide ribosomal RNA is filed under the name uncultured bacterium. RNAcentral describes it as "bacterial SSU rRNA". It matches the Rfam family "Bacterial small subunit ribosomal RNA", at positions 557 to 1490 of the family's 1533-position model. The record is from RNAcentral.
GGUUUAAAGGGUUCGUAGGCGGGCUAAUCAGGCAGAGGUGAAAUCCAGAGCUAAACUGUUGAACUGCCUUUGAUACUGUUAGUCUUGAGUCAUAUGGAAGUGGAUAGAAUAUGUAGUGUAGCGGUGAAAUGCAUAGAUAUUACAUAGAAUACCGAUUGCGAAGGCAGUCCACUACGUAUUGACUGACGCUGAGGAACGAAAGCGUGGGGAGCGAACGGGAUUAGAUACCCCGGUAGUCCACGCCGUAAACGAUGGACACUAGUUGUUGGGUGUAAGCUCAGUGACUAAGCGAAAGUGAUAAGUGUCCCACCUGGGGAGUACGGUCGCAAGAUUGAAACUCAAAGGAAUUGACGGGGGCCCGCACAAGCGGUGGAGCAUGUGGUUUAAUUCGAUGAUACGCGAGGAACCUUACCAGGGCUUAAAUGUAGGAUGCAUUAGUUAGAGAUAGCUAUUUCUUCGGACUUCUUACAAGGUGCUGCAUGGUUGUCGUCAGCUCGUGCCGUGAGGUGUCAGGUUAAGUCCUAUAACGAGCGCAACCCCUAUCUUUAGUUGCUAACAGGUUAAGCUGAGGACUCUAGAGAGACUGCCGGUGCAAACCGUGAGGAAGGUGGGGAUGACGUCAAAUCAUCACGGCCCUUACGUCCUGGGCUACACACGUGCUACAAUGGUAAUGACAGAGGGCAGCUACUAGGCGACUAGAUGCAAAUCUUUAAACAUUAUCACAGUUCGGAUUGGAGUCUGCAACUCGACUCCAUGAAGCUGGAAUCGCUAGUAAUCGGAUAUCAGCCAUGAUCCGGUGAAUACGUUCCCGGGCCUUGUACACACCGCCCGUCAAGCCAUGGAAGCUGGGGGUGCCUGAAGUCGGUCACCGCAAGGAGCCGCCUAGGGUAAAACUGGUAACUAGGGCUAAGUCGUA